Long non-coding RNA from Triticum dicoccoides, 678 nucleotides. RefSeq lists it as uncharacterized. The transcript is spliced from 3 exons. The record is from RefSeq and is a predicted model, not a curated record. Lineage: Eukaryota; Viridiplantae; Streptophyta; Magnoliopsida; Poales; Poaceae.
CACUCCUCUUUGCCCACCCAUCUCACCUUCUCCCCGGUUGCUCAAAAAAAAAUCCCCUUUCCCCACACGCCGCCGCGGCUUGCUCUGCCCGCCCUCUCCGCCGCCGUCUCUCUGCCAGCCCCAGCCCCAGCCCCCGCCUUGCUCCCUCUCCGCGCUCUCCACCCCUGACGACCAGCGCGGCCGCUCGUGUCGACCGCGUUGUCGCUCCCCCCUCACCUAGCACUGCCGCCGCUCCGGUGGGGGAAGGUCCAGGCCGGCGUGGCGGCGCGUCACGGAGCCACCCCCAAACGCCCUGCAGCUUGCAGCUAGCCACCACCUGUGUCGGAGCGUUGGAUGCCUGAAAGAACAGGACAUGGCUGAUUUUACGGAGCGGCAUUGUUCCACUGAAUGUGUUAAGAUUUGCGAGGCACUGAACUGAAAGGCCUAGUCGGUCGUGGACCAGAACCUGUUCCUGCCGUGAUUGUCGAUCUCAUAGAGAAGAAGUGUGCGGAGAAAUGUUUGAAUCUGAUCAUUUCAUCCUCAUACUGAACACUUUUAAUUUCCGCCAUGAAUUUGCUAUUUCCUACCAGAAAGAUAAUUUCCUUUUCUUCUUGGCUUUUGCAGGCUCCGUAAUUUUGGGAAAAAUAAAUUUAGUGACCCAAGUGUGCUGCUUUCUAUUCUGACCAAGUAUGCUCACCA